Molecule: ribosomal RNA, 254 nt
Filed under: uncultured bacterium
Lineage: Bacteria
Description: partial 16S ribosomal RNA
Rfam family: Bacterial small subunit ribosomal RNA
Source: RNAcentral
UACGAAGGGGGCUAGCGUUGCUCGGAAUCACUGGGCGUAAAGGGCGCGUAGGCGGCCAUUCAAGUCGGGGGUGAAAGCCUGUGGCUCAACCACAGAAUUGCCUUCGAUACUGUUUGGCUUGAGUUUGGUAGAGGUUGGUGGAACUGCGAGUGUAGAGGUGAAAUUCGUAGAUAUUCGCAAGAACACCAGUGGCGAAGGCGGCUCUCUGGGACGGUACUGGACGCUGAGACGCGAAAGCGUGGGGAGCGAACAGG